RNAcentral lists this transfer RNA (20 nucleotides) under Mitsuaria sp. 67. RNAcentral's name for it is "tRNA (5'-D(*AP*UP*CP*CP*CP*CP*GP*UP*GP*UP*CP*CP*UP*UP*GP*GP*UP*UP*CP*G)-3') from Mitsuaria sp. 67 (PDB 4WT8, chain D2)". The record is from RNAcentral. Lineage: Bacteria; Pseudomonadati; Pseudomonadota; Betaproteobacteria; Burkholderiales; Sphaerotilaceae.
AUCCCCGUGUCCUUGGUUCG